Molecule: ribosomal RNA, 441 nt
Filed under: uncultured bacterium
Lineage: Bacteria
Description: partial 16S ribosomal RNA
Rfam family: Bacterial small subunit ribosomal RNA
Source: RNAcentral
CCUACGGGUGGCAGCAGUGGGGGAUAUUGCACAAUGGGGGGAACCCUGAUGCAGCGACGCCGCGUGGGUGAAGGAGUGCUUCGGCAUGUAAAGCCCUAUCGGCAGGGAAGAAGCAAGACGGUACCUGACUAAGAAGCCCCGGCUAACUACGUGCCAGCAGCCGCGGUAAUACGUAGGGGGCGAGCGUUAUCCGGAUUCACUGGGUGUAAAGGGAGCGUAGACGGCCAUGCAAGCCAGGGGUGAAAGCCCGGGGCCCAACCCCGGGACUGCCCUUGGAACUGUGCGGCUAGAGUGCGGGAGGGGCAGGCGGAAUUCCUGGGGUAGCGGUGAAAAGCGUAGAUAUCAGGAGGAACACCGGGGGCGAAGGCGGCCUGCUGGACCGCGACUGACGUUGAGGCUCGAAAGCGUGGGGAGCGAACAGGAUUAGAUACCCCUGUAGUC